AGAGGAGUGGCAGAGUGGUCGAAUGCGGCGGUCUUGAAAACCGUUGUACCGCAAGGUACCGGGGGUUCGAAUCCCUCCUCCUCUGCAA
RNAcentral lists this transfer RNA (88 nucleotides) under Rhodothermaeota bacterium MED-G18. RNAcentral describes it as "tRNA-Ser". It matches the Rfam family "tRNA". From Rfam's summary of the family: Transfer RNA (tRNA) molecules are approximately 80 nucleotides in length. Their secondary structure includes four short double-helical elements and three loops (D, anti-codon, and T loops). Further hydrogen bonds mediate the characteristic L-shaped molecular structure. tRNAs have two regions of fundamental functional importance: the anti-codon, which is responsible for specific mRNA codon recognition, and the 3' end, to which the tRNAs corresponding amino acid is attached (by aminoacyl-tRNA synthetases). tRNAs cope with the degeneracy of the genetic code in two manners: having more than one tRNA (with a specific anti-codon) for a particular amino acid; and 'wobble' base-pairing, i.e. permitting non-standard base-pairing at the 3rd anti-codon position. RNAcentral also lists the same sequence under 4 other names. The record is from RNAcentral. Lineage: Bacteria; Pseudomonadati; Rhodothermota.